CACUCCUACGGGAGGCAGCAGUGGGGAAUAUUGGACAAUGGGGGCAACCCUGAUCCAGCCAUGCCGCGUGAGUGAUGAAGGCCCUAGGGUUGUAAAGCUCUUUUGUGCGGGAAGAUAAUGACGGUACCGCAAGAAUAAGCCCCGGCUAACUUCGUGCCAGCAGCCGCGGUAAUACGAAGGGGGCUAGCGUUGCUCGGAAUCACUGGGCGUAAAGGGUGCGUAGGCGGGUCUUUAAGUCAGGGGUGAAAUCCUGGAGCUCAACUCCAGAACUGCCUUUGAUACUGAGGAUCUUGAGUCCGGAAGAGGUGAGUGGAACUGCGAGUGUAGAGGUGAAAUUCGUAGAUAUUCGCAAGAACACCAGUGGCGAAGGCGGCUCACUGGUCCGGUACUGACGCUGAGGCACGAAAGCGUGGGGAGCAAACAGGAUUAGAUACCCUAGUAGUCCCAUGA
This 450-nucleotide ribosomal RNA is filed under the name uncultured organism. RNAcentral describes it as "partial 16S ribosomal RNA". It matches the Rfam family "Bacterial small subunit ribosomal RNA", at positions 334 to 800 of the family's 1533-position model. The record is from RNAcentral.